GAGCACCCGUGCCAGCGCCCGCAGCAGCAGCAGCUCCAUGGAACCUCUGCCAUUCGCCUCCAGCAGCAGGGUGCAUUUGCUCACCACCUCCUCCGAGCAGCCCCGCCGGAGCAGGGCCUCCAGCUCGUACACCGAGGCCACCACGUUGUUGGGGAUGAGGCUGGAGAGGAAAACUGCAGCUAUUCCCACGCUGAGGGACACCACGGCCAGGUUCCUGCUCCGGAUUUUGGGGAUCUGAGCCUUGCCUUGGCACCAGGCCUCCAGCGUGGCCACCACUCGCUGGCAGGGCUCGUGGCCCAUGGCCUUCACUCUCUGCACGGCUGUGGGGCCACAGCAGCUGAAAGCAGCCAGGUAAAAAGCGGUGGCAGCUGGAAAUUCCUGCCGGGAGAGCUGCUCGUCGCCUUCCCCACAGAGCAGGGCGGCCAGGUCCUCGGGCGCCAUUUCCUGUGCUUGGGCCUUCAGCGAGCGGCAUCGCGGGGGGAGCCCGGCUGGGGCCUGGGAAACACAAAUGAGGGGCUGUGGAGGCUGCUGUGACCAUUCAGGCUGGGGAAUGAAGAUGUUUCUCCUAAAUGAUGCAGGCUGGGUGACCGGGUGCCCUCCCCACUGAAGCCCAGGAGCUCCGCCGGUGUGUGAAGCCACACGAUGAAAUUUCAUCCCGAGGCAUCUUCGGCUCCACGCCCUCAGUCUGUUGGGAGAGCUGGGCUGAGGGAGCUCUGUUGCCAGCCUGAGGCAGGAUCUCCUUCUCCUGUGGAGGGAAUUUGCAGCCCUGGCACCGUGUCCCCAUGUCCCCACAGCUGCUGCUGCUCCUUUGGGUCCCAGCAGAGUUCAAAUGGAGACCUCUAAGGGUAGUCAGUGACAGAUCUGAUUCCUAAUGCAUUCUGGUGGGAAAUAUUAAUUUUCAGGAUGUUUUCAAUCUUUUAAAAGCUGUUUUUAUCACAGAAUUAUUGAGGUUUGAAAAGAUCUCCAGGAUCAGAGUCUAUCCUGAGCUUGAUCCCCACCUCAUCACCAGCCCAGAGCUCUGAGUGCCACCUCCAGGAAUUCCUUGGACACUUCCAGAGAUGGGGACUCCAAACCUCCCUUGGGAGGCCUGACCACCCUUCCAUGGAGAAAUUCCUGCUGAUGUCCAGCCUGAGCCUCCCUAGGCACACUUUGGGGUCGUUUACCCUCAUCCUAUCCCUGUUCCCUGGGAGCAGAGCCUGACACCCCCAGCUCCCCCCUCCUGCCAGGGAGUCUGCAGAGCCAGAAGAUCCCCCCAGGCAUCCUUUUCUCCAGGACUUAAAAUCCUAUUGUAGAAUAUGUUAGACAGCUCUUUGGUCAAACUUCUCUGCUCUCCAGACAACCACAACCCCCUGGGUGCAUGCAGGUGGCACAGAAAGCCACGGUGAUCUCUCCAUGCGCUGGACUAUUUUCAUCUCUGCUCACACAAUAAGAAUGACAAUGCAAAGGAUUGCAGGGAUCCUUGAUAAGGAGCAGGAUUAAGAUGCACUUGAGUGAGAUUACAAGAAAAGUGUGGUUGUUCCAUUAGAAAAAGGAAUAAUCCCUUUGUUUAUGUUCUGGAGAUUAAAGCAGUGAGAGCAGAAAGCACCCAGAGGUCACCACACACAGACUGUGCUGUCUCAGGGGCUGUUUGGGCUGUGAGUCUGGGAUUCAGCUGUGCAGUUGCAGAAUUUAAUCUGUUCUCCUUGUGCUGGGAGUUCUGCAGUGGCUCCAUGUGAGGCAGGGAAGUGGCUCUGCCUAUUCCACAGGCAGAAGGGUGUGCUUGACUUGGAGUAAAAGUCAGUGGGGUGAAUGAAGGAUGUUCCCCUAUGAUGUUCUUGGUGUUCCCUGUGGAUGUUCACACACCCACCUUCCCCUCUGAUAGUGCACCCUCUGAUACAAAGGCUCAAGAGCAGAAAUUUCCUGCUAAAAUCACAGAAUUAUGAGGUUGGAUAAGGCUUCCAAAUCCAACCUGUGACCAGUCACCACCUUGUCACCCAAACCAGAGCUCUGACUGCCAUGUCCAGUCAUUAAACUGGUGUUUAAGAGAGCUCUCAAAUGUGUGGGUGGAAGGUGGCCCACGCUGGAGAAGUUUUAGCCUGGUCAUUUUAUGAUCUGACCCAGUCAGUCAGGAUCUGGCUGAGUAUUACAAAGCUCACCCCCUGUAAUCUCAUCCUCUCCUGCUCUGAGUUACUCCACUGGCAUUUCCCAGCCUGGCUUUGCAAGUCCAGCAUUUUGUAGAUGGGAAGUUCUGAAAUGAGGAGCAGUUGGGCCAUGUGUGACUGGGGACCAAGACCAACCUCUGGAUAUCCAAACACUCCAACAUCCCACCCUCAUAAUUAGGGUGAUUUUCCAUCUGGUUUAGCACCUGUCCAGUGUGGGACAUUGGAAAAAAUUCCUCAAUAUGCCAAGCAAGGGGCCUGAAAAAAAACCCAACAAAACCAGCCUUACCCUCUGCUUCUGUUCUUCCCAGUGCAAAGUGACAAAGCCAUCCCAUUUCUGAGGUGUGAUGUUUUAUUUCCCACGUUUAUUUAGGAUAGAAGGAUUUGAGGCUGAGGAUAGUGACUAGUUGGAUGGGCUGAGCCUCAGAAGGGACCCCCAGCAGGGCUGAAACUUGGAAUAACAGACCAUGAGGGAUAAAAAAGAGAAGCUGUUAAUGUUGCCAGCUGAAAUGGAACACUGUUAACCCACCCAUUUUAUCCCUUCUCUGUUAAUACUGAAGCUUUCUGCACUUAUUUCCCCUCAUUCCUUCCCUGCUUCCCAAAAAAACAGGGAUAAAGAGAUGUUGUCAAGGGAUAACUUGUUGGGUUCUGCUGUUUCCAAAUCAUCUUGGCCUGCAGUAAGUUUAUCAACCAGCCAUGGCAACAUCAAUCACCCAGAAAAAUAGCACAGAGUGAAAUGACUUUUCAAAAUGUCGUUGGUAUAAUUAUCAUCUUGGCCAUUACAUUAAAUGCCACCAUUUAUAACUGUUAUGUUUAAGUAUGCAAACAGUAAUUAACUUGGUAAUGAACUGAGGACCCCUGUGCCUCUCUUCCCUCAGCUAAUUUGCAUGUUAAUUAUCAUUAGCAACCAGGGAAACAAGUUAUAAACAGCUUAAUUAGCAGCUUAAUCAUUUUUACAAGAAAACGUGCUGCACUUUGAUACACGAGCAAGAGUUGGAUUAAUGAAGUCAGACAAGGGAGUUCUCCCUGUGCUGGUCCUGCUGCAGUGCUGGGCUUGUUUUGGGUUUAUUUUGGGCAAUUUGGGGCCCCCAGAUGUGCCCUUGCACAGCCCUGUGCACACUCAGGCUCUGGGCACUCUUGCACAAGGCUCUCUCAGUGCUCCUGAUUGGUACCUACUUAAGAAAUUCUGAAUUUCCUAAUAAAAACUAAUUUUCUUUAGUUUUACCUCCAUUUUUUUUCUUUUUUGGCAGAAAUUUUCUGUUGAUUUAAUGGAAAAUUUAGGUGUAGUUUGAUUAUUUAGAUCUAAUUUGAUUAUUUGGUUGUAUUUUGUUAGGGUUUUUUUGUUCGGUUUUUUUUUGAAGGUGGUUGUACUUCCAUCCCCCAACUACACUAUAAAUAAUAAUUGUAUCAUUUAUAGUCUAAUAUAAAAAACAGCCAGCUCACACGCAUUUCGAAGAAUUUUUUUUCUUAUUAUUUUUAAGUUUUUAAAAAUCACACUCACAAAUUAAACAGAGAGCUGGAAUUGGGUCUUAAGGACACAAUAAUUAAAGGAAGGCAAAUCCAAAUAAGAAGGAGAAAUGCAAGCUGUGGUUUGUAGGUGUAGGCAGGUGCAGUCACCUGUGUGGAUUUGCAUUUAGGAGAUUUUUUUCGACAUCUUGGAUGGGUAAAAUCUCCAGAUGAGGCUCACCCUGUUCUUAUCCCUCGGAUAAAAUGUCAUUCUGGGAAUUAUCCCACAUUGCCCUGCCAAGAGCACUUCUCACUGGAUCAGGAGUCAAUCAUUGGAUGGAAAGCAGCAGGAAUUUUGUCCUAAGAUGGGAACAAAUUAUCUGAGGAGGUUGUGGGAUCUGCCACCAGGGAUUUUGGGAAUGGGCGGUCUGUAAAAGAGGGUUGGGGCGUUUUGAUGCUGGUUCAGGGCGGAUUUCGAGCCUGGAACCAGACAGGUCCUGGGAUGAGGCUGCAGAGCAUCCCUGGCGCUCCAUCGGGACAUUCGGGAUCCGACAAAACCGCAGCUUUGACCCCAGAUCAGGCUGAAUUCCCCAUUCCGCGGGAAUCCAGGGGUUUCCUCCAGCAAGAUGAAGAUUCCCGUGGUUAUGACGCGUAAAGGAGUUGGGCUUUGUACCCAAAUUUGGCUGAAGAGGUGGCACAGCCUGGAUUGUCACCUGAGUGCCACCCUGCCAUGGCGGGCUUUGGCCAGCAGGGGGGGCCAGCGCACCGCCAGGAAGGGCAGGAACGGGCCCGUUUGGGAAUAUUCCCUUAAAUUAUUAUUUAUUUUUAUUUUCUAUUAACACAGAAGCAGGAAGCUGCCGCUGCCUUGUGGGCUCAGCGCACGGAACUCGCCCACAAUGCUUGCAAAAUCCUGACUUUACAAUCCAGAAGAAAGGAGUUAAUUUGGCUCAAUAAGGCUCAAAUGCCUUA
This 4553-nucleotide long non-coding RNA is filed under the name Ficedula albicollis (Collared flycatcher). Its description in RNAcentral is "lncRNA (ENSFALG00000026983.1)". Lineage: Eukaryota; Metazoa; Chordata; Aves; Passeriformes; Muscicapidae. The record is from RNAcentral.